RNAcentral lists this ribosomal RNA (163 nucleotides) under Solanum scuticum. RNAcentral's name for it is "5.8S ribosomal RNA". It matches the Rfam family "5.8S ribosomal RNA". From Rfam's summary of the family: 5.8S ribosomal RNA (5.8S rRNA) is a component of the large subunit of the eukaryotic ribosome. Lineage: Eukaryota; Viridiplantae; Streptophyta; Magnoliopsida; Solanales; Solanaceae. The record is from RNAcentral.
AAAACGACUCUCGGCAACGGAUAUCUCGGCUCUCGCAUCGAUGAAGAACGYAGCGAAAUGCGAUACUUGGUGUGAAUUGCAGAAUCCCGUGAACCAUCGAGUCUUUGAACGCAAGUUGCGCCCGAAGCCGUCAGGCCGAGGGCACGUCUGCCUGGGCGUCACG